ACUGACAUUGACAUGCUAUAUAAUUAUUGUUCAUGUUCAUUAAUAGAGUCCAUGUUAAUAACUGAAACCUUAUUAAAAAGUGUUACUAAAGUUUUAUAUAUUGUUCUGUGUGUGUGUCUUUCACAGUCUUGAUGGUUUGGAUUAACCCUUUAAUUGCCGAAUCCUUUAAAACCAGACUGCCAGAGAGUUACUGUAAAUGCAUGUGCCCGGUGGGCACAGUUUUCCCGAUGCCACAGGGGUGGCGUUUGCACUGAUGGCUUGAGCCCGCCAUCGCUGCUUGCAGCUAUAUUUUUUUUUAUUUUUCUUUCGACUAAACGGGGCUUUUUGGGGGCCUUAAAGUGCUCAAAAACUCUUGAAAAUUGGCACACACAUUGGAAUCUGCGGUCAUUAGGACGCCGCAGAGACUUGGCCCCCGGCGUGGCACAGGGACUCUACGGCGCCCCCUGGAACACAGUCAGAAAUCUUGAACCAUAGCUCACACAAACUUGCAUGUAUUUAUAUGAAACUCUGUACACUUAUAGAUCUCAUUGAGCCGAACAACUUUUGCACUCUAUGUCAUAGGCUCCGCCCAACAGGAAGUCAGCUAUUCAGGGUUGUUUAAAAAGUGCAUGCUCUGGAAUUUGAUAUACUCCUCUGAGGAUUUCCACCCAUUCGCCACAAAACUCUGUGAACAUGAUCUCAAGACAUUGGGGAUGAAAAAUUGCCAGGGGAUUUUUGAUAUCUCGAACGGUUUGCUCGUGGCGAGGC
Cyprinus carpio carpio is the source of this 747-nucleotide long non-coding RNA. The record is from Ensembl. NCBI's taxonomy places the organism in Eukaryota, Metazoa, Chordata, Actinopteri, Cypriniformes, Cyprinidae.